GUCCACCAGGGGUCUGAUGGGUCUGCCCUGUGAUACACUUUGCGACCACCAGGGGUCUCCGCUGGGUCUACCCUAGGAUACACUGCGACCAGGGGUCUGAUGGAAAAACAUACCGCAAGGGGGAAGCCUGGCUUUGUUAUUCAUGUACCAAGACGAUAGAGAACAGUAGCGGCUUCUGUUAUGAAGCUUUAAUGUUGACUUCACUGACGGGAGAACAAAACCAAACCGCAAACUCACAAUUACUACAAACGCAUACAUUCGUUUUAUAUUCAAAUUGAAUGGAUGCUCCGUACGAUAAACCCAGCCCCUGAAAUACGCCUGUUUGCUAGCGUGGUAAUUGGGGGGAAUGUUUCAUGAGCAAGAGAGGCCCAUGGGGCCGACACAGACUUAGUUUGGUGCCAUGUCUAAUUAGGAAGAGCAUGUAGGUCAUGCAGUAAAUACCCGCGGUGGAAUUUUCCUUGCCAUAAAAACCAACCCAAAAGUUUUGCAUAAUAUUCUUCAUGCUCCGAGAUGCUGAUGUUACAGGCCAUUCUGCAAAAGGUGAAUUUAAGCAGCAGGCCCCACGUUGUGAACUCUGGCCAGAGGAGGAAAACCCGAGCCAGGAGUACUACCACCUCCAUGGCCGGAUCUGGUGAGCGAUUAGCAGCCAUGCACCGACCCCUCACACGCUGUCACAGUCCUGCAGCCACUCACCUCACAUCUGUAGACACUCGCGUGUUCUCACAUCCCCCUAAGUAAACUCUGACCUUUACGUGGACACCGGGAGUGGCAGUUGAAUUAAACGCUUGUCAGUUCUCCGACCUUUAUGGAGAAAGGUUCGUGUUCCUCUUAAUGUCGGGGGCCGUGCCUCACCGUUCCGAACUCUGAAUCGAACGCAGAUCUGUGCAAGAAAAACAGUUGAGGUGAAUAAACACGACUAGGGGCUAAUUUAUCAGCGAUUCUCUCGCGAACAAGUACUCCCGUGCACACAGCUAAGACUGUGGAUUUGAAUUCAGCUAAAUCUGCACAUUUUCUACCGUACCCUCCCCUUCUCUCUGUGUUUCUCCCGGUAAAGCCUUGGUUAACACGGCGCGAGGGAGAACAGGGAUGCUAGUGUUGACGGCCGCGGGGCUGUUUGCUGUUGCGGUGUAAAACCCUUCCUAUCCCCUUAACAAGGAUUACAGCUGAAAGUCCCUUUACCGCAGCGCUACCGCGGGG
Molecule: long non-coding RNA, 1197 nt
Filed under: Gadus morhua (Atlantic cod)
Lineage: Eukaryota; Metazoa; Chordata; Actinopteri; Gadiformes; Gadidae
Description: lncRNA (ENSGMOG00000034586.1)
Source: RNAcentral